Cavia porcellus (domestic guinea pig) is the source of this 73-nucleotide transfer RNA. It matches the Rfam family "tRNA". Rfam says of the family: Transfer RNA (tRNA) molecules are approximately 80 nucleotides in length. Their secondary structure includes four short double-helical elements and three loops (D, anti-codon, and T loops). The record is from Rfam. NCBI's taxonomy places the organism in Eukaryota, Metazoa, Chordata, Mammalia, Rodentia, Caviidae.
GGAGGUUUAGCUCAGCGGCAUAAGCACCUGCCUUGCAAGCAGGCGGUCGUGAGUUUGAUCCCCGGUACCACUA